Molecule: ribosomal RNA, 449 nt
Filed under: uncultured bacterium
Lineage: Bacteria
Description: bacterial SSU rRNA
Rfam family: Bacterial small subunit ribosomal RNA
Source: RNAcentral
UCCAGACUCCUACGGGAGGCAGCAGUGGGGAAUAUUGCACAAUGGGCGAAAGCCUGAUGCAGCAACGCCGCGUGAAGGAAGAAGGGUUUCGGCUCGUAAACUUCUAUCAACAGGGACGAAAGAAAUGACGGUACCUGAAUAAGAAGCCCCGGCUAACUACGUGCCAGCAGCCGCGGUAAUACGUAGGGGGCAAGCGUUAUCCGGAAUUAUUGGGUGUAAAGGGUGCGUAGACGGAAGAACAAGUUGGUUGUGAAAUCCCUCGGCUCAACUGAGGAACUGCAACCAAAACUAUUCUCCUUGAGUGUCGGAGAGGAAAGUGGAAUUCCUAGUGUAGCGGUGAAAUGCGUAGAUAUUAGGAGGAACACCAGUGGCGAAGGCGACUUUCUGGACGAUAACUGACGUUGAGGCACGAAAGUGUGGGAAGCAAACAGGAUUAGAUACCCCCGUAA